UACGUAGGGGGCCAGCGUUGUCCGGAAUCAUUGGGCGUAAAGCGCGCGUAGGCGGUCAGGUAAGUCCGGUGUGAAAGUCAAAGGCUCAACCUUUGAAUGCCGCUGGAAACUGCCUGACUUGAGUCCGGUAGGGGCGAGUGGAAUUCCUGGUGUAGCGGUGAAGUGCGCAGAUAUCAGGAGGAACACCAAUGGCGAAGGCAGCUCGCUGGAACGGUACUGACGCUGAGGCGCGAAAGCGUGGGGAGCGAACAGG
Molecule: ribosomal RNA, 253 nt
Filed under: uncultured bacterium
Lineage: Bacteria
Description: partial 16S ribosomal RNA
Rfam family: Bacterial small subunit ribosomal RNA
Source: RNAcentral